UACGGAGGGUGCAAGCGUUGCUCGGAAUCAUUGGGCGUAAAGCGUACGCAGGCUGUUCGUCAAGUCGGGUGUGAAAUCCCGGGGCUCAACCCCGGAACGGCGCCCGAAACUGUCGAGCCUGAGUGCGGGAGAGGGAAGCGGAAUUCCUGGUGUAGAGGUGAAAUUCGUAGAUAUCAGGAGGAACACCGGUGGCGAAAGCGGCUUCCUGGCCCGACACUGACGCUCAUGUACGAAAGCGUGGGGAGCAAACAGG
Molecule: ribosomal RNA, 253 nt
Filed under: uncultured bacterium
Lineage: Bacteria
Description: partial 16S ribosomal RNA
Rfam family: Bacterial small subunit ribosomal RNA
Source: RNAcentral